UUCCUGGUAGCCCAGUGGCUAAGACUCUGCCCUUCCAAUGCAGAGGGCCUAGGUUGGAUCCCUGGUCAGGGAA
This 73-nucleotide transfer RNA is filed under the name Capra hircus (goat). It matches the Rfam family "tRNA". Rfam says of the family: Transfer RNA (tRNA) molecules are approximately 80 nucleotides in length. Their secondary structure includes four short double-helical elements and three loops (D, anti-codon, and T loops). RNAcentral also lists the same sequence under 1 other name. Lineage: Eukaryota; Metazoa; Chordata; Mammalia; Artiodactyla; Bovidae. The record is from Rfam by way of RNAcentral.